This 484-nucleotide ribosomal RNA is filed under the name uncultured bacterium. RNAcentral's name for it is "bacterial SSU rRNA". It matches the Rfam family "Bacterial small subunit ribosomal RNA", at positions 40 to 518 of the family's 1533-position model. The record is from RNAcentral.
CGACAGGCCUAACACAUGCAAGUCGAGGGCAGCACAAGGAGCAAUCUGAGGUGGCGACCGGCGCACGGGUGAGUAACACGUAUGCAACCUGCCUGUAAGCGGGGAAUAACCCGUUGAAAGACGGACUAAUACCGCAUAAUACUAAAUUACUGCAUGGUAAUUUAUUUAAACAUUUAUGGCUUACAGAUGGGCAUGCGCAUGAUUAGCUAGUUGGAGAGGUAACGGCUCCCCAAGGCAACGAUCAUUAGGGGUUCUGAGAGGAAGGUCCCCCCACACUGGUACUGAGACACGGACCAGACUCCUACGGGAGGCAGCAGUGAGGAAUAUUGGUCAAUGGACGAGAGUCUGAACCAGCCAAGUCGCGUGCAGGAAGAAUUGUCCUAUGGAUUGUAAACUGCUUUUGUAUGGGAGCAAUAAGGGCUACGUGUAGUCCGAUGAGAGUACCAUACGAAUAAGCACCGGCUAACUCCGUGCCAGCAGCGGC